AGGUAGCCUAGUGGUUAGAGUGUAUGUAGAGGCGGCAGGUAGCCUAGUGGUUAGAGUGUAGAGGUGGCAGGUAGCCUAGUGGUUAGAGUGUAGAGGAGGUAGGGUAGCCUAGUGGUUAGAGUGUAGAGGAGGUAGGGUAGCCUAGUGGUUAGAGUGUAGAGGAGGUAGGGUAGCCUAGUGGUUAGAGUGUAGAGGAGGUAGGGUAGCCUAGUGGUUAGAGUGUAGAGGAGGUAGGGUAGCCUAGUGGUUAGAGUGUAGAGGCGGCAGGUAGCCUAGUGGUUAGAGUGUAGAGGCGGCAGGUAGCCUAGUGGUUAGAGUGUAGAGGCGGCAGGGUAGCCUAGUGGUUAGAGUGUAGA
Molecule: long non-coding RNA, 356 nt
Organism: Oncorhynchus tshawytscha (Chinook salmon)
Lineage: Eukaryota; Metazoa; Chordata; Actinopteri; Salmoniformes; Salmonidae
Source: Ensembl